AUGGCAGGGAAGGCCAGUCCCUUCCAGGGCUCCGCGGGAGGGGGCCUGGAACCCCGACGGUCCGCGCCGCGAGGCCUCGAUCCCAGAUCCCCGCCAGCAGCCGCACGGGAGGCGGGACGGCCGCCGGGUGGGUCCCGGGGUCCCCGCAAACCCGCGGCCCCCUGCGCCCCCCGGGGUCCCCGCGACCCCGCGGUCCCUGCGCCCCCCGGGGUCCCCGCGACGCCCCCGCCCCCCCCCCGCGGUCCCUGCGCCCCCCGGGGUCCCCGCGACGCCCCCGCCCCCCCCGCGGUCCCUGCGCCCCCGGGGUUCCCGUGCCUCCGCGAUCCCUGCGCCUCCCGCGACCCCUGCGCCCCCCGUGCCCCCCCGGGGUCCCCGCGACCCUGCGCCCGCCCCCCGCGGGCCCCGCGCCUCUCGUGUCCCCCGCGCCCCGCCGCUCACCCCCACUGUGGGAAGGGUGGCCUCCGUGCCCCCCGGGCCCCCCCGGGGGAGGCCGGGCCCCGCGAUCCAGGCGGGCGCGGCAGCAGCGCGGCGAGCGGUCAGCGGGCGGGCGGCGGCAUCGGGCGGGCGGGGAGGCGCGCAGACCCCGCUCCGAGCGCCCCGAGUGGCGGGGCCCCCGCGGCGUCCGGCCGCGCCGCCGCUCCAGCCCCGGGCCGCGGUCCCCGCGAAAACACCUCCUCUGGCGCCUUGAGCCCGAAUUUGAGAACCCGCCAAUCGGCGGCGGGCGGCGGGCGGCCCCGGCCAAUGGCGAGGCGGCACGGCCCGGCUCCCCGCCCCCCGGGUCUUGGCGCCCCGCGCCGCGCCUCUUGCCCGCCGCCGCCAGGCGCUGCCGCCUCGCCCCCGCCCCCUUCCGGGUACCUGGAAACCUCGGGCCCGGAGCCCGUUCCAGCCGCGGACGCGGGAAGGGGGGAGGGGCGGGGAGCGGGGAGGGGAGAGAGCAGCGGGAGGGGACGGGGAGAGGACGGAGAGCUGGGCGGGAGAGGAGAGGAAGGAGGGGAGGGGAGGGGGAGAGGACGGAGAGCUGGACGGGGAGAGGAGAGGAAGGAGGGGAGGGGAGGGGGAGAGGACGGAGAGCAGGGGGGAGCAGGAGGGAGCAGAGGAGAGGGAGGAGAGGAAGGGAGGGGAGGGGGAGAGCAGGGGAGAGGGGAAGAGAGGAGAGGGAGGAGGGGAGGCGGAGGGAGGAGGAGAGGGAGGGGAGGGGAAGAGCAGGGGAGAGGAGAGGGAGGAGGGGAAGGGGGAGCAGGGGGAGGAGGAGAGAAGGGGGAGCAGGGGGGGAGGGGGAGGGACGAGGGGAGGGGGAGAGCAGAGGGGGGAGGAGACGCGGGAGAGGAGGGGAGGGGGGAGGAGGGCGCUUUUGUUAUGCAUAAAAGGCCCGCCGGCUGCCCCGGCUUGCCGCGCUAG
RNAcentral lists this long non-coding RNA (1398 nucleotides) under Canis lupus familiaris (dog). Its description in RNAcentral is "lncRNA (ENSCAFG00040005464.1)". The record is from RNAcentral. Lineage: Eukaryota; Metazoa; Chordata; Mammalia; Carnivora; Canidae.